GCCUGGCUGGCUCAGUCGGUAGAGCAUGAGACUCUUGAUCUCAGGGUUGUGUGUUUGAUCCCCAAGUUGGGCA
This is a non-coding RNA of Odobenus rosmarus divergens (Pacific walrus), 73 nucleotides long. The record is from the annotation of a RefSeq genome assembly. NCBI's taxonomy places the organism in Eukaryota, Metazoa, Chordata, Mammalia, Carnivora, Odobenidae.